This 164-nucleotide ribosomal RNA is filed under the name Muhlenbergia paniculata. Its description in RNAcentral is "5.8S ribosomal RNA". It matches the Rfam family "5.8S ribosomal RNA". Rfam says of the family: 5.8S ribosomal RNA (5.8S rRNA) is a component of the large subunit of the eukaryotic ribosome. It is transcribed by RNA polymerase I as part of the 45S precursor that also contains 18S and 28S rRNA. RNAcentral also lists the same sequence under 3 other names. Lineage: Eukaryota; Viridiplantae; Streptophyta; Magnoliopsida; Poales; Poaceae. The record is from RNAcentral.
CAACAUGACUCUCGGCAACGGAUAUCUCGGCUCUCGCAUCGAUGAAGAACGUAGCAAAAUGCGAUACCUGGUGUGAAUUGCAGAAUCCCGUGAACCAUCGAGUUUUUGAACGCAAGUUGCGCCCGAGGCCUUCUGGUUGAGGGCACGUCUGCCUGGGCGUCACG